AACGUUGACCUCGAAUCAGGUAGGACUACCCGCUGAACUUAAGCAUAUCAAUAAGCGGAGGAA
This 63-nucleotide ribosomal RNA is filed under the name Beauveria bassiana. RNAcentral describes it as "partial 28S ribosomal RNA". It matches the Rfam family "Eukaryotic large subunit ribosomal RNA", at positions 1 to 58 of the family's 3401-position model. The record is from RNAcentral. Lineage: Eukaryota; Fungi; Ascomycota; Sordariomycetes; Hypocreales; Cordycipitaceae.